GUCAGAAGCAGUUGUAUUGCCCCCACAAGAAGCCUGGGAGCUCAUUCUGGCAGAUCCUGCCCCGUUUGGAACCUGGCUGUGAGCAAGAAAACAUCUGUGGUCGGAAAGUGGGGGCAGUGAUUCAGGCCUGUUUGGGACUUGGAGAGAGGAUGUCCUUGAACCCUUUGCUCGGCAAACAGCUCCCUCCCACAAGGAUGUGAGAGGUCAUCUGUCUGUCUACUUUGACACUUUCACCCAGUGACCUUCAGGGAUUCAGACACCUUCCCGCCCCCAGCCACCACCACCCUGGGAAGAUGGAUUAAACCCGAGAGGACUGUGCAAGGAGGUGGAAGAAGUCGUGCCAAGAGUACAUGGAGGAGAAAGGGGACCAGCUCAGUUCACACUGGAUGGGCAGCUGUGUUUGGCAGAAGGGCCAAGGAAAAUCAGCUCAUGCAUUGGAAGUUUUAGCCAGAGCAAUUGGCAAGAAAGAGAAAUAAAAGACAUCCACGGAGGAAAGGAAGAAGUAAAAUAAUCCUUGUUUAAACA
Ailuropoda melanoleuca (giant panda) is the source of this 525-nucleotide long non-coding RNA. RefSeq lists it as uncharacterized. NCBI's taxonomy places the organism in Eukaryota, Metazoa, Chordata, Mammalia, Carnivora, Ursidae. The transcript is spliced from 4 exons. The record is from RefSeq and is a predicted model, not a curated record.